RNAcentral lists this transfer RNA (82 nucleotides) under Pseudoloma neurophilia. It matches the Rfam family "tRNA". Rfam says of the family: Transfer RNA (tRNA) molecules are approximately 80 nucleotides in length. Their secondary structure includes four short double-helical elements and three loops (D, anti-codon, and T loops). The record is from Rfam by way of RNAcentral. Lineage: Eukaryota; Fungi; Microsporidia.
GUCAGCAUGGCCGAGUGGUUAAGGCGGUAGAUUCGAAAUCUACUGGGCUUGUCCCGCGCAGGUUCAAAUCCUGCUGCUGACG